GAGUACAUCGCCCGCGGCUUUGUCGAC
RNAcentral lists this transfer RNA (27 nucleotides) under Prymnesium polylepis. Its description in RNAcentral is "partial Selenocysteine transfer RNA". Lineage: Eukaryota; Haptophyta; Prymnesiales; Prymnesiaceae. The record is from RNAcentral.